UUUUAAUAGCUUACGCAGGGUUAGUUAAUGUACCAAAUUGUGCAGAACGUAGACGGAUACCAAUGCGCAAAACAUGGAGAAACGGUACGUUUAACCUUCUAUUAAUGUUCUUUAAACUUACAGAUUUUAAAGCUUCAAAACCUGAGCUAUGACCCUCGAUAGUUUCCAUCCUUCUUUGACGAGCCCACCGUCGAUUGCCAUCCAUUACAAAGGCUAUGUGUUGUGGUACUUUGCCACGUUUAAUUGUAUUUAUCAUCAUCGUUUCUAAUUGAUCAAGUGUCCAUUGUAAUGGAGGACAGUGAAUAAACCAGCCUGAUAAAUUACCCAUAUUGUCAAGAUA
Schizosaccharomyces pombe (fission yeast) is the source of this 340-nucleotide non-coding RNA. Lineage: Eukaryota; Fungi; Ascomycota; Schizosaccharomycetes; Schizosaccharomycetales; Schizosaccharomycetaceae. The record is from the annotation of a GenBank genome assembly.